RNAcentral lists this small nucleolar RNA (52 nucleotides) under Candidatus Syntropharchaeum butanivorans. RNAcentral describes it as "Candidatus Syntrophoarchaeum butanivorans Small nucleolar RNA sR41". It matches the Rfam family "Small nucleolar RNA sR41". The record is from Rfam by way of RNAcentral. Lineage: Archaea; Methanobacteriati; Halobacteriota; Candidatus Syntropharchaeia; Candidatus Syntropharchaeales.
GCCGAUGAUGAGCAGCUUCUCUGAUCGAUGAUGAACCCUAUGAGUACUGAGG